UUGGUGGACAGGACUAUAUGAACCUCGGU
RNAcentral lists this non-coding RNA (29 nucleotides) under Mus musculus (house mouse). The record is from RNAcentral. Lineage: Eukaryota; Metazoa; Chordata; Mammalia; Rodentia; Muridae.